Molecule: ribosomal RNA, 593 nt
Filed under: Pseudomonas sp.
Lineage: Bacteria; Pseudomonadati; Pseudomonadota; Gammaproteobacteria; Pseudomonadales; Pseudomonadaceae
Description: bacterial SSU rRNA
Rfam family: Bacterial small subunit ribosomal RNA
Source: RNAcentral
ACUACACAUGCAGUCGAGCGGAUGAAGGAGCUUGCUCCUGGAUUCAGCGGCGGACGGGUGAGUAAUGCCUAGGAAUCUGCCUGGUAGUGGGGGACAACGUUUCGAAAGGAACGCUAAUACCGCAUACGUCCUACGGGGGAAAGCAGGGGACCUUCGGGCCUUGCGCUAUCAGAUGAGCCUAGGUCGGAUUAGCUAGUUGGUGAGGUAAUGGCUCACCAAGGCGACGAUCCGUAACUGGUCUGAGAGGAUGAUCAGUCACACUGGAACUGAGACACGGUCCAGACUCCUACGGGAGGCAGCAGUGGGGAAUAUUGGACAAUGGGCGAAAGCCUGAUCCAGCCAUGCCGCGUGUGUGAAGAAGGUCUUCGGAUUGUAAAGCACUUUAAGUUGGGAGGAAGGGUUGUAGAUUAAUACUCUGCAAUUUUGACGUUACCGACAGAAUAAGCACCGGCUAACUCUGUGCCAGCAGCCGCGGUAAUACAGAGGGUGCAAGCGUUAAUCGGAAUUACUGGGCGUAAAGCGCGCGUAGGUGGUUUGUUAAGUUGGAUGUGAAAUCCCCGGGCUCAACCUGGGAACUGCAUCCAAAACUGGCA